This 4832-nucleotide long non-coding RNA is filed under the name Sus scrofa (pig). Its description in RNAcentral is "lncRNA (ENSSSCG00025063318.1)". Lineage: Eukaryota; Metazoa; Chordata; Mammalia; Artiodactyla; Suidae. The record is from RNAcentral.
GUCUUUUUGCUACUUCUUUGGGCCGCUCCUGCGGCAUAUGGAGGUUCCCAGGCUAGGGGUCGAAUCGGAGCUGUAGCCGCCGGCCUAUGCCAGAGCCACAGCAACGCGGGAUCCGAGCUGCGUCUGCAACCUACACCACAGCUCACAGCAACGCCGGAUCAUUAACCCACUGAGCAAGGCCAGGGACCGAACCCGCAACCUCAUGGUUCCUAGUCGGAUUCGUUAACCACUGCGCCACGACGGGAACUCCUAUAACACUCUAUUCUAUCUACAGUGUUAUUCAGGUCAUUUGAGAGAGCAGAAACAAGAGGUAAGCCCUAUCCUAGGUCAAAGAAUAACUGUUCUUGUGUACUCUUAAGUGGUAGAUAAUGUAAUUUGCAGAAUUAACGUGUAGGUUUGUAUCUUUUUUGAGGCAUCAAUGUGAAUACAAAAUGUUACAUGUUCACAUAAGAGUUACUAAGGCUAGCCUAUUUCUCAACAUCCACACUACAAUAAAUGGCCAUACUGCCCAGUGAGUAUGGGCAGCUUAGAUCUCCCAGCAUUUAAAGACUUCAUCUGAUUACAGGAUGAUACCAGAGAUUAUGUGAUAAUAAAACAACCAACUGACAAUAUCUCUGAGUAAACUUGUGUUCAGAGGGACUCUGAGUUCAUACCUAAAAAGGAAUUCUGUGACCGAUUAUGGGUAAUUGAGAAUGUCAGCACACAUGCCUUAUACAUACUUAAAAUAGCAGAAGGGAUUUUCUUAACCCUUAAAUAAAGGUUGAGAUUCAGGGCUGGCAUUAGGAGAUUUGGCGGAAUGUGAUCCCAGGGAGCAACUGUGAUGGCAAAGAAAGUGACCAGGGAAUGAGAGAAAACCAGUACAAGAAUGCACCAUUGAGUGGGCUGUUGCUACUAAUGCCUGGCACUUUAUUCCAGGGGAGCCUUAGGAAAUGUAUCCCACAAUUAUUCACUAGGGAAACAAAGAGGGAACUAUUCAUUUAAAAGUUCCCUCCCCAGUCAUUCGAGGGAGGGUCCACAGACACCAACUCCUCAGCAUUUCCAAACUGCCUACCUGGGCACUGAGUGGGUCUUGGGGAAUCUCAGCUGCCAGUUUCCGAGGAGUCCCAGGGGAGGAGGUGAGAGCAGGUUCUGAGAUGCAGUGCUGUCAGGCUGAACUGUGCAAAGCUGAUCAAAGUCAUCACAGCAGUGAGUAGAGGCAGAGGUGGGACUAGAAAGAGAUGAAAUCAUGCUUAAAAGCUUGUCCAGUACCGUUCCUAUCAUGCCCACUCUUUGGGGUCUUAUUCUCAUAAUGAUUCAUGCUCAGUGGUUGAACAAAACUCCAUUGAAUUCCACCUAUUCAAAGAAGAAUACAUUCAAGCUACGAUCUUCUCAAAAACCGUAUUUCCUGGACCCACAUCAGGCAAUAUACUUCAGAUUUGAAUUUGUUCACUGAACACAGUGAAUCAUGCUGCCCAGCCUGAGAACACAACUGCUACAGAGGCAACAAGUUCAAUGAAAAAAAAUUACAGUGUCAACAUACUAAUAAAAUGAGGAAUUCUCAUCAUUCACCAUACAGUAUUAGCCUAACACAUAGUGAUGAUUAUUUCUGUGAAAGUUAACAUUUCCCAAAAGCUUUUGAGAAACGUACCAACACUAAUGAAGCAUAAAUUGAUAACUUAAGAAGUUUAGGAGUUACUGUUGCGGCUCAGUAGUGACGAACCUGACAAAUAUCUAUGAGGAUGCGGGUUUGAUCCCUGGCCUCAGUGAGCUGUGGUGUAGUUCACAGAUGUGGCUUGGAUCCUUUGCUGUUGUGGCUGUGGUAUGGGCUGGAAAUUGCAGCUCCCAUUCGAUGCCUGGACUGGGAACUUCCAUAUGCUGCGGGUUCGGCCCUAAAAACAAAAAUAAAACAAAACAAAAAGAAAUUUAGGUGUGCCAUAGUGUAUUAAAAUUUCUUUUGGUCCAUGCAUCAUGAUGAGCUUACAAAGGUUGAGACAUCUUUUUUUUUUUAAUUUUGAGAGACAUCAAUGUUUUUUCUUUUAUAGUAGAAAUGAUAAUUUAUACUUCUAUCAUUAGAAUGUUUUAAAAUUUUUAUUAAUCGACACAUCAUAAAUGAGAAAGUGAUUAUGUACCCAUUUCAAUCAUCUAUUUCAGCUUGCUUUGGAAAGGAAAAUAACUGUUUUCUGCUAAUUACAGAUUUAACUUAAGGUUAGCAGAUCUAUAAGCUGUGGUGAUUACAGGGGCCAGAUUUAGAGAUAGAUGGAGCUGAUAAUGUUACCAUCUCUUCCUCAACAUGAUUAAGAUUAUGGCCUCAAGCAGCAGAACACAGAUAAACACAUCAAGGAUUCUGAUAUCCUGGCAGAAUGGACAUCUGAUGUUGGAAACCUGCAGUGCUGCCUCCAGGGCACAGGCAGUUGGUAUCCUCAUCAAAUCUGCGGGAGGCCUCUAAAGGCAGUCACUUCAAUGCUUGCCCCUCCCAGUGGUGCAUGCACAUACACCAAGCAGGUGGGCUAAGCUUAACAACAGCAGCUUAAGACACAGCUGAUGAAGUGUCAGCCCCUUUUUCUUUAUGAGCCUCACCCAGGUUCUCAGUUCAUUAGUCUCCUAAUAAUUAAUUCAGAAUGUUAGAUCUUUCCUCCACACAGAACACAUGGAUUCAUAUUCUAAGUGUGCCAGAGAGAGAGAGAAGAGACAACAUUUAACAAUACCAUGGCACUGUGUUGGUCAGAUGCUGAUUGAUGUGGCCCAUGAUGGAUCAUCAUCAUCUAAGAUGAUUUUCCAAGGGUUGUACAGGAUGAACGAAACAGCGUCUUAUGGAGAAAACGACACCAAUGGGCUGGCCAAUUAGUCAGAGAUAAAAACAGCUCAGGAGGAGAUGUACACAUGGUGCAUCAAGAAGAAGACCAGAGCCUUAAGUCCCCAGUGCCACCUGGCAGUUUUGGGAAUGGUGGCUUCACUGUCCUGUGAAACGGAGCGAGUGCUAGUGCUAAGGACUCAGGGCUGAAAACCUAGGGAAAGGAAAUGGAGCUAAAGAAUCAAAAGAAUAAAACUAACCUGACAGGGAAGGGAGCUAUGCACUCAUCUCAUCUUCCACUCACAGCUGACAUUACUAAUCUCUCAUAAUACCAUCACUGACAAGCACUGAGAGAUCCUAAAAUUCUCAUUAACCCACACUUUUAGGCAGUUAAGUCAUCCUAUUUUUUGGAAGGAAUCAAUGUGUCAUCCUUGAUCUAUGACCAUAUCUUGUAUUAUUCUAAAAACCUCAAAUAUCUUAAUCUUUCAGAAGUUAAGGACAGAAAAGGGUCUUUGCAUAAACUACCAAGAAUCUUUCUUUUUCUUUUAACUGUAACUAAAAGUACCUAUUUAUCGUUUUAGCAUGUUCUGUCUGUGCUUUCCCUUUUCGUGUAAUAAUAAUGCUAACUUAGAUGGUUAUGAUUUUUAUUAUUGUUUAUGAUUUUUAUUUUUUCUAUUAUAGUUGAUUUACAGUGUUUUGUCAAUUUCUACUGUACAGCAAAGUGACCCAGUCAUAUACACAUAUAUUUUUUUCUUUUACAUUAUCCUCCAUCAUGUUCCAUCACAAGUGACUAGAUAUAUAGGUGAAGGGGCUAAGAGUUCAGAUCUUCAUCCAGAGUGCUUGCUGUUUGUCUAUGCUUUACAUAGAGGAAUCUGUCCAUGAUUAAUUUUAAGAAGGUCAAUUGCUUUAAAAAAGAUUUGGAAACCAUGAGAGUAAACUGUAUUUGAAGUCCUUUACUAGCACUCAGAGCUUCUUCAGCCAAGGCUACAGAGAGACUUCCCAGUUUGGCUGAGGCCUUGAGUGCUCUAUUUGAGUUGAAAGCUGUCCUAUCCUGUCCAGCAAUUCUAUCCCUAAAAUUAACAACAUUUUCCAAGUUCACUAUCAGAGGCAACAAGGAAAUUAUACAAUAAUGUAUCAUUAUUUUCUGAUCCUCCAGGCAUUUGUUUUACGUGCUGACACAGGAACAUUUGAUAACUCUCUUAGCUGUCUAACAGGGAAGGGCUAUCAAUUUUUACCAUGCAUCACUGAAUUACCUGGCCUUGCUAUAACCAUCAAAACAAGUUUGAUGAAAUCAUGGCCUUCAAGAGCAUUAAUUUUAUAUCAUUGAAAGGCAUCACUAAUGGUCACUGCUUGGUCUUAGUCUGAGGAAGAAACUGGGGUUAAAAUUCAUGAGCUACUCUUUGUCCUCAGAGUCACAGCUUACUCUUAAAAUUGUGUGUUUAAAUUUCGUGGCAGAUGAAAACAAUGCUAAAAACUUUUCUUGUAAGAGGAAAAAUAUUCCAAGAGAAAAAGAUCUUUACUUUUAAUGGAGAAGGGGCCAAGAGAAAUUGUGCAGUGAGUCCUCCUGUGAUGAUAAGCUUGGGUGCCCUUAGCAUGUCCCAGCAGAAAGAGAGUUACGCUGAGAUAGGUCUUUGCUUAUCAAAGCUUCCUAAGACUCAAUUGUUCAACAAGUAUUUGUUGAGUACCUGCCUUGUGCCUGGCUCUGUGCUGGAUGCAUUGUACAAAUUAUUCAGAGAUCUUCAUAAUCACCCUAUGAUACAAUCACUUUGGGUGGCUCAGGUCAGCCCUUCUACAAGACGAUUGCGUUGAGACAUUACAAACAUUUUUCCUUGUUUAUUGAUUUAUUUAUAGAAUAUCACUCUCCAAAAUGUAAAAUAAAUUUGAAAUCAGUAUGGUAUUGUGAAAGGAGUUCAUACUGGACACACUGUUUGCCCCUGGGAUUGCAGACUGUCUCUUGCUGGUAGAAGGAGUCAUGGCUUACCAACGCUGAGACGAUUGCCUACUACUUACUGCUGUGAGCUUCUGCUCACAUGCUUCUGUUCUGUCCUUCAACAAUGAACUU